AGCUGCCUCCCGAGCCUUGUCUCCUCGAGUUUGCCUCUUAAAAGAAUUUCCUUCUCUAGUAUCAUCAAAAUUUCCUCGUCUUUUUUCUUCCAUCAAAGCUUCAUGUUGGCUCUUAGCAAUAUAUGCAUGAACUGAAAGAGACUCAACAGGAUCCUCUCAACCUGUUCUUCCUCGUAUUGUAGCUGCAGUUCUCAAUAACGCUUCUCGAGGUAAUUUCCCUUCUUGCAUUGUAGAAACGGCAGAAGCCCAAAACUCACUAGUUUCCGUACUUCCACCAAUUUCAUCAUCUACUCUAGCACCAUAACUUGCACUUUCUCGUACUAUUGUUUCAUGC
RNAcentral lists this long non-coding RNA (334 nucleotides) under Physcomitrium patens. Its description in RNAcentral is "long non-coding RNA (PPAT_LNC001238)". The record is from RNAcentral. Lineage: Eukaryota; Viridiplantae; Streptophyta; Bryopsida; Funariales; Funariaceae.